Molecule: unclassified non-coding RNA, 334 nt
Filed under: soil metagenome
Description: partial contains 5.8S ribosomal RNA, internal transcribed spacer 2, and large subunit ribosomal RNA
Rfam family: 5.8S ribosomal RNA (bases 1-120)
Source: RNAcentral
GAUGAAGAACGUAGCGAAAUGCGAUAAGUAGUGUGAAUUGCAGAAUUCAGUGAAUCAUCGAAUCUCUGAACGCACAUUGCGCCCCUUGGUAUUCCAUGGGGCAUGCCUGUUCGAGCGUCAUUUGUACCUUCAAGCUUUGCUUGGUGUUGGGUGUUUGUCCAUUCUCUUGCAGAGGGACUCGCCUUAAAGUAAUUGGCAGCCAGUGUUUUGGUUUUGAAGCGCAGCACAAGUCGCGAUUCAAAGCUAUACGCCCGCUUCCACAAGCCUUUUUCACUUUUGACCUCGGAUCAGGUAGGGAUACCCGCUGAACUUAAGCAUAUCAAUAAGCGGAGGA